UACUAAACAUAUGGAACUCACUCGUUCCAUGCCCCCCCAGAUAAGGAAGAAAAUGAGAAACCGCCAACUGACCUACCCAUUGAAGUUUAUGAGAAUCCUGUGGAUCCGCAAAACUUGAGUGCAUGAUCGUUCUCAUACUCUGAUGAGUCCAAUAGCAUAGUAAAAGAAGUGGCCCUCGUUUGUAUUUUGACUUUUAUAUUUUGUAGCCAC
Molecule: long non-coding RNA, 210 nt
Filed under: Carica papaya (papaya)
Lineage: Eukaryota; Viridiplantae; Streptophyta; Magnoliopsida; Brassicales; Caricaceae
Description: long non-coding RNA (CPAP_LNC003516)
Source: RNAcentral